CUUUAAUACACUUUUUAGAGGAAUAAGUAAAUGAAUGAAGGAAUGUUAAAUUUGUGGGUCUUGAUAUUACUUGUAGAAAAGAAACUCAGCAUUUUCAGACAAUAGGGUAAUUAACUUCAGUUACACUGCAUUGAUUAGCUGCACUGAACAUCUUUCUACACUAGAUAGUAUUUCUUAGAUGGCAUUCACUCUGGGAUUUCUUGUCUGGCUGGUCAUGGAGAAUAAGAAUCAGCAACAUCUUUGUCUUUGAGUAUUACUAGAGGGCUUUUGGGCACCACUCACAGAGCCAAGGCACUCAC
This 299-nucleotide long non-coding RNA is filed under the name Bos taurus (domestic cattle). RNAcentral describes it as "long non-coding RNA NONBTAT000944". The record is from RNAcentral. Lineage: Eukaryota; Metazoa; Chordata; Mammalia; Artiodactyla; Bovidae.